CGUGGGUAACCUGCCCAAGAGAUCGGGAUAACACCUGGAAACAGAUGCUAAUACCGGAUAACAACAGAUGAUGCCUAUCAACUGUUUAAAAGAUGGUUCUGCUAUCACUCUUGGAUGGACCUGCGGUGCAUUAGCUAGUUGGUAGGGUAACGGCCUACCAAGGCGAUGAUGCAUAGCCGAGUUGAGAGACUGAUCGGCCACAUUGGGACUUAGACACGGCCCAAACUCCUACGGGAGGCAGCAGGU
This 246-nucleotide ribosomal RNA is filed under the name uncultured Lactobacillus sp. Its description in RNAcentral is "partial 16S ribosomal RNA". It matches the Rfam family "Bacterial small subunit ribosomal RNA", at positions 116 to 354 of the family's 1533-position model. The record is from RNAcentral. Lineage: Bacteria; Bacillati; Bacillota; Bacilli; Lactobacillales; Lactobacillaceae.